Molecule: ribosomal RNA, 447 nt
Filed under: uncultured bacterium
Lineage: Bacteria
Description: partial 16S ribosomal RNA
Rfam family: Bacterial small subunit ribosomal RNA
Source: RNAcentral
AGCGAACGCUGGCGGCAGGCCUAACACAUGCAAGUCGAACGAUCCUUCGGGAUAGUGGCGGACGGGUGAGUAACACGUGGGAACGUACCUUUAAGUUCGGGAUAACUCAGGGAAACUUGAGCAAAUACCGGAUGUGCCAUUCGGGGGAAAGAUUUAUCGCCUUUAGAGCGGCCCGCGUUAGAUUAGCUAGUUGGUGAGGUAAAGGCUCACCAAGGCUCCGAUCUAUAGCUGGUCUGAGAGGAUGAUCAGCCACACUGGGACUGAGACACGGCCCAGACUCCUACGGGAGGCAGCAGUGGGGAAUCUUGCGCAAUGGGCGAAAGCCUGACGCAGCCAUGCCGCGUGAAUGAUGAAGGUCUUAGGAUUGUAAAAUUCUUUUAGCAGGGACGAUAAUGACGGUACCUGCAGAAAAAGCCCCGGCUAACUUCGUGCCAGCCGCCGCGGUAA